This 506-nucleotide ribosomal RNA is filed under the name uncultured bacterium. RNAcentral's name for it is "partial 16S ribosomal RNA". It matches the Rfam family "Bacterial small subunit ribosomal RNA", at positions 29 to 523 of the family's 1533-position model. The record is from RNAcentral.
AGUGAACGCUGGCGGUAGGCCUAACACAUGCAAGUCGAACGGCAGCACAGGAGAGCUUGCUCUCUGGGUGGCGAGUGGCGGACGGGUGAGGAAUACAUCGGAAUCUACUCUGUCGUGGGGGAUAACGUAGGGAAACUUACGCUAAUACCGCAUACGACCUACGGGUGAAAGCAGGGGAUCUUCGGACCUUGCGCGAUUGAAUGAGCCGAUGUCGGAUUAGCUAGUUGGCGGGGUAAAGGCCCACCAAGGCGACGAUCCGUAGCUGGUCUGGGAGGAUGAUCAGCCAGAAUGGAACUGAGACACGGUCCAGACUCCUACGGGAGGCAGCAGUGGAGAAUAUUGGACAAUGGGCGCAAGCCUGAUCCAGCCAUACCGCGUGGGUGAAGAAGGCCUUCGGGUUGUAAAGCCCUUUUGUUGGGAAAGAAAUCCAGCUGGCUAAUACCCGGUUGGGAUGACGGUACCCAAAGAAUAAGCACCGGCUAACUUCGUGCCAGCCGCCGCUGUAA